GGAUUUCAAAACAAUUAUUAUGAAAUCAUAAAAUUAAAACCUAACUCCAAGAUCACCUUAUCAGAAAUUAAACCAUAUAAUAUGCAUUAAUAUCAAAUAAAAGAUAUAGAAACAUACCUCUUAUCGCUAAACCCUGAUUUGUGCUUAGUUGCCGGCAGCAAUCUGUUUGAGUUUCCACCAGGUGCCCACGUGUUCACCCUC
RNAcentral lists this long non-coding RNA (201 nucleotides) under Elaeis guineensis (African oil palm). RNAcentral describes it as "long non-coding RNA (EGUI_LNC077946)". The record is from RNAcentral. Lineage: Eukaryota; Viridiplantae; Streptophyta; Magnoliopsida; Arecales; Arecaceae.